Long non-coding RNA from Cyprinus carpio carpio, 1267 nucleotides. NCBI's taxonomy places the organism in Eukaryota, Metazoa, Chordata, Actinopteri, Cypriniformes, Cyprinidae. The record is from Ensembl.
AUGUUCGUUGAGGUAAACCUUCGUGCCCUUCAAUUUCCUCCCUUGUCUCAACAGCGCGACUUUGUGUUUGUGGUUCACAAAGCGCACAAUGAUGGCAGGAGGCCCAAGGAUCGUAGAAUGACGCUUCUUAGGGAUUGGGUCUCUAUCUCCAGUGCAUUAGCAUCGAGGACUCCUGCCUCUGGAUCCGCCACCCUCGCAUAGGUACGGUGUUUCGUUUCCAAGCCAGUUAUAAUGAGGUCGUUCAUUCUCGUGUGCUGCUCAAGAUCAUCGAUUCGUUUCUCCAACAUAGCUAUUUUCUCAUCUUUCUUCAUCAGUAACAUCUUAAGCGACUGAAUAUCAGCUGACAAUUUCUCAUUCAAUGCCGUCAAGUUUUCCUGUUUAGUUACGUUUCUCAGCGUUAAGUUGAUCAGUUCCAAUUGUUCCUCCACUCUUUUCAUCUGUGCAAUCGUGGGCCCCCCCAUACUUGCUUAGGUUAUUUUCAAAAAUGUAAUUAGUAUGAUAGAUUAAUGUGGUGAAAUACCAAAGCCAGAGCUCCAUUCAACAGCUGAGCUGCGUGCCGCCAUCUUUGUAUCGCCAUCUUUGUAUUUUAAAGCAAAGAUCACUGUUAUUAGCCAUACUUAGGGUUAGUGACUUGAACAAUCCGCAUAACUACGCAUUUAUUAUCCCUCAAAUCAUGUGCUUCAUUGUGGAGAGGUUUACUAGGACUUUUCUAAGUGGUCAGACUUAAAAGCAAGAAAACCCCUUAGACUUACACUGAAAAUAGGCUCCAUACAUAUCUACAGAACAGAACAGAAUUUAGUUAUUGGCUCAUUUCAAACAAGCCCACAAGUCUCUCUCUCUCUCUAUAUAUAUAUAUAUACAGGUGCAUCUCAAUAAAUUAGAAUGUCGUGGAAAAGUUCAUUUAUUUCAGUAAUUCAACUCAAAACUCAAAAACUUGUGUAUUAAAUAAAUUCAAUGCACACAGACUGAAGUAGUUUAAGUCUUUAGUUCUUUUAAUUGUGAUGAUUUUGGCUCACAUUUAACAAAAACCCACCAAUUCACUAUCUCAACAAAUUAGAAUACUUCAUAAGACCAAAAAAAAAAAAUUAGUGAAUUGUUGGCCUUCUGGGAAGUAUGUUCAUUUACUGUACAUGUACUCAAUACUUGGUAGGGGCUCCUUUUGCUUUAAUUACUGCCUCAACUCGGCGUGGCAUGAAGGUGAUCAGUUUGUGGCACUGCUGAGGUGGUGUGGAAGCCCAGGUUUCUUUGACAGUGGCCUUCAGCUCAU